GUCCGUGUGUUGUGACCCGAUAUCGUUCACUUUCAUUAAAUAUGUCUUAGAUCUGAAAUAUUUUUACGGGAACUAACACUUUCGAUUUUCGAACACGCUGAGUUCAAAUCCGAAAAGUUCCCACCCCGUAGACCUGCAGUUUUCUCACAAAAUGCAAUUUUAUCUUCAAUAAUUUCACGACAAAGUUUUCAUUGUUCAACGACACGGAUCGAUGACAAUACACGAUUAUGUCACUCAAAAGGACCAAUUUCUAUUAACCAAUUUUCCUUUUAACAAAAGACCGGUUUUGCUCGAAUCAUUUUGAGUUAUGCAAUCUUAUGCGUGUUGGACGUAAACAACAUGUCUUGUCUACAACUUUGAGAAAGUACAGAUAACGCUUUCUAAAAUCCUCAGUUCUAGAGAUAUCUCCAUAAAAUCACAAGGACAUUAACGCGAAGUC
Molecule: non-coding RNA, 439 nt
Organism: Paramuricea clavata
Lineage: Eukaryota; Metazoa; Cnidaria; Anthozoa; Malacalcyonacea; Plexauridae
Source: the annotation of a GenBank genome assembly